This 497-nucleotide ribosomal RNA is filed under the name uncultured bacterium. RNAcentral describes it as "partial 16S ribosomal RNA". It matches the Rfam family "Bacterial small subunit ribosomal RNA", at positions 28 to 507 of the family's 1533-position model. The record is from RNAcentral.
GAUGAACGCUGGCGGCGUGCCUAAUACAUGCAAGUCGAGCGAACAGAUGAGGAGCUUGCUCCUCUGACGUUAGCGGCGGACGGGUGAGUAACACGUGGAUAACCUACCUAUAAGACUGGGAUAACUUCGGGAAACCGGAGCUAAUACCGGAUAAUAUAUUGAACCGCAUGGUUCAAUAGUGAAAGACGGUUUUGCUGUCACUUAUAGAUGGAUCCGCGCCGCAUUAGCUAGUUGGUAAGGUAACGGCUUACCAAGGCGACGAUGCGUAGCCGACCUGAGAGGGUGAUCGGCCACACUGGAACUGAGACACGGUCCAGACUCCUACGGGAGGCAGCAGUAGGGAAUCUUCCGCAAUGGGCGAAAGCCUGACGGAGCAACACCGCGUGAGUGAUGAAGGUCUUCGGAUCGUAAAACUCUGUUAUUAGGGAAGAACAAAUGUGUAAGUAACUAUGCACGUCUUGACGGUACCUAAUCAGAAAGCCACGGCUAACUACGUG